GUCCAUGCCGUAAACGAUGGAUACUAGCUGUUGGGAGCAAUCUCAGUGGCUAAGCGAAAGUGAUAAGUAUCCCACCUGGGGAGUACGUUCGCAAGAAUGAAACUCAAAGGAAUUGACGGGGGCCCCGCACAAGCGGUGGAGCAUGUGGUUUAAUUCGAUGAUACGCGAGGAACCUUACCAAGGCUUAAAUGUAGAUUGACCGUUUUGGAAACAGAACUUUCGCAAGACAAUUUACAAGGUGCUGCAUGGUUGUCGU
This 256-nucleotide ribosomal RNA is filed under the name uncultured bacterium. Its description in RNAcentral is "partial 16S ribosomal RNA". It matches the Rfam family "Bacterial small subunit ribosomal RNA", at positions 793 to 1055 of the family's 1533-position model. The record is from RNAcentral.